GAGGCCUAACACAUGCAAGUCGAACGGGAUUCAGUAGCUUGCUACUGAUGAGAGUGGCGCACGGGUGAGUAACGCGUAUGCAACCUACCUCUUACAGGGGGAUAGCCCGGAGAAAUCCGGAUUAAUAUCCCCGGUAUUCAUUGUCCGCAUGGAUGGUAAAUUAUUGAUUUAUCGGUCAGAGAUGGCACUGCGUGACAUUAGUUUGUUGGUGAGGUAACGGCUCACCAAGACUACACUGUCAUAGGGUUCUGACAGGAUGAUCCCCCACACUGGUACUGCGACACCCCACCCACUCCUACGGCAGGCAGCUGUGGUGAAUAUAGCUCCUGGGCGCAAGCCUGAACCACCCAUCCCGCUUGAAGGAAGACCGGCCUAUGGGUCGUAAACUUCUUUUCCGCACUAACAAUGGGUUGUACGUGUAAUCUUUUGGCCGUGAUGCAGCCUUAAGCAUCUGCUAACUCCAUGCCAGCAGCCGCGGUCAUACGGAGGAUGCAGGCGUUAUCCUGAUUCAUUGUGUUUGAAGGGUGCGUAGGCGGAUAGGUAAGUCAGUGUCGAAAUCCUACAGCUUGACUGUAGAAGUGCCAUUGAUACUGUCUAUCUUGAGUGUAAAUGAAGUGGGCGGAAUGUGGCAUUGUAGCGGUGAAAUGCAUAUGCUGCUACAGAACACGAUUGCGAAGGGAGCUCACUAAUAUAUAACUGACGCUCAUGCAUGAAAUCCUAGGGACAAACAGGAUAAGAUAUCCUGGAACCGACGCUGCAAGCGAUAAUUACUCGUUGUGGCGAUACAGAGUCUUUACCAAUUGAUAAUGUUAUAAAUCCACAGGGGGACUACCAUCGAAAGGUUGAAACUCAAAGGAAUUUCGGGGACCCGCCCGAGCGGCGGUACCAUGUGG
RNAcentral lists this ribosomal RNA (893 nucleotides) under bacterium enrichment culture clone PAH58-P24. RNAcentral describes it as "bacterial SSU rRNA". It matches the Rfam family "Bacterial small subunit ribosomal RNA", at positions 43 to 944 of the family's 1533-position model. The record is from RNAcentral.